This is a long non-coding RNA of Varanus komodoensis (Komodo dragon), 1377 nucleotides long. RefSeq lists it as uncharacterized. The record is from RefSeq and is a predicted model, not a curated record. The transcript has 4 exons. NCBI's taxonomy places the organism in Eukaryota, Metazoa, Chordata, Lepidosauria, Squamata, Varanidae.
CUUCCUUCCUUCUUCUGAUAAACUCAUGCAGUUUGCUUAAUUUCUGGCUCCUUUGGAUUGGGGUAGACAGUGUGGUACCCUCCAGAUGUUUUUUGGCCUGCUAUUUGCAUAAACCCAUCCAGCAAGGUUGGUGGUCAGGGAUUAUUGGAGUCAAAGUUCAAAACAUCUGGAAAGUUCCAGUUUGCUUACCCCUGCUUUAGGCCUUUCUCCCAGCAUUGCUACAGGUUCAGCAACUACUUAACUUUUUCCAGUUUGGAAGCUUGCAGAAACCUUUCUAACUGUUUUGGUUAUUUUUUUCUACAUAACUAGGAAGUCCCCAAGGUAUGCACAAACCACUCAGUUACUUUUGGGUGGCCCUGUUGUGCUUCUAAGCUGGUAGGCACUUCCAGAGGAGAUAAUGAUGAUACAGCACAUGAACUUGUCAAACCUAAUUUCAUGGGGGAUACUUAAGUACCAUGCUCAACAUGUGCAAUACAAGUUCCUUUCAUUUGUAUUAACAACCAGACCAAUCUACUAGCUUAGAUUAAAUUGGUAGGAGAAAAAUGUAUGAUAAUUUUCUCAUUGAAAAUGGAUGAUAGAAAACUACAAUUAUACAUCUGCAGCUGUGUCAUUCCAGUGCACUCUAAGUCAAAAGUAGCCCAGGAUGCUGAGAACUAAAAAGGUUAAAAUCUAUGUUUCAGCAAUUGACCGUUCACAAAGUGGGUCCUCUGACAUGGAUUAAACUGCAUGCUGACCUUUUGAUGUCAACCUGAUGAAGAACCUGUAGACCAGGUUUCUACAAAUUAGCAGACAUUCAAACGCAUUGGAAUCCACUACCCCUAUAUCAGUUUCUACAGCUGCCAAGGGAAUUACAUUCUGUUAAACACACCAAUUUGAAAACUCUUUGAGAUUACAAUAACCACAAGAUGACAAUGGAAUUCCAGGCCCAAGCUGCAGUUCCAGCAAGAUGAUCCUUCUUCAGCAUCUGUGUGCAAGAACAGCACUUAGUCUGAGCUGAAGACUCUUAAAGCACCUUGCGGUGGUUUUCCUUCUUUGUUGCUCUUACAAAAUACCACACGCAGCCUUCUUGCUUCUGUGCCAUGGACUCUCUUGGAGGGGUACUUAGGAAAUGGGAAUUGUACAGCUGUAAAGCACAUGUUACAAAUUAUUUUGUUUUGUAAAUGUCUGGUAAAAUACAUAUUUGAAUAUCUAAUCUUUCUGAUUUUUUUAAAAAAUAUUAUUAUUUUGGAGACAUGACUAAAAUAGCUGCAUGAACCAGUGGCCUGUAUUAGCCAGUUGGCAUUUAUAUAUUGUUAUUUUCUAUUUUAAUGUGAUUGGUUUUAUUAAUAUUGUUUGCCAGCUUGAGCAAUGCAAAGAAAAACGGGAUAAAAGAUUAAA